RNAcentral lists this unclassified non-coding RNA (347 nucleotides) under Hevea brasiliensis (rubber tree). The record is from RNAcentral. Lineage: Eukaryota; Viridiplantae; Streptophyta; Magnoliopsida; Malpighiales; Euphorbiaceae.
AACGGCAAGAAGAAAAUGAAGGCAGGCCUGUUCAGGCAAGCCAGCUGUCACCUGGGGAUGUAAUCUUUGGAAUCAAUCGGCGACCGUCUUUUACCGAAGGAGGUUCUGUGGAGAUUCCUGAGUUUCUCAGGAAGAAAGGUCGCUCUCGCUAUCCAAGAGCUUAAAUUAUAUUUCCACAGUUUGUCCUAUCCUGUACAUAUCUCUUUUUCUGGGAAUUCCAUUCUAUGGAAUCUAUAAUACAUCUUUGUAGGUAAUAGUUCCAGACAGCACCCCCCUUGAGGUUUCUAGCUUUGAGAUAUUAAGAAUGUAUGCUGGUUAGAAUGUAGUAUUCCUAAAAAGUUGUAGAU